ACCGGGCACAGUGGUGCGUGCCUGUGGUCCCAGCUACUCAGGAGGCUGAGGCAGGAGGAUCUCUUGAGCCCAGGAGUUCUGGGCUGUAGUGCGCUAUGCCUAUCGGGUGUCCGCACUAAGUUCAGCACCAACAUGGUGACCUCCUGGGAGUGGGGACCACCAGGUUGCCUAAGGAGGGGUGAAUGGGCCCAGGUCAGAAAUGCAGCAGGUCAAAACUCCCAUGCUGAUCAGUAGCGGGAUCGCGCCUGUGAAUAGCCACUGCACUCCAGCCUGGGCAACAUAGUGAGACCCUGUCUCU
This 298-nucleotide signal recognition particle RNA is filed under the name Saimiri boliviensis boliviensis (Bolivian squirrel monkey). RNAcentral describes it as "Metazoan signal recognition particle RNA (ENSSBOG00000006571.1)". It matches the Rfam family "Metazoan signal recognition particle RNA". From Rfam's summary of the family: The signal recognition particle (SRP) is a universally conserved ribonucleoprotein. It is involved in the co-translational targeting of proteins to membranes. Lineage: Eukaryota; Metazoa; Chordata; Mammalia; Primates; Cebidae. The record is from RNAcentral.